AUUGAACGCUGGCGGCAGGCCUAACACAUGCAAGUCGAGCGGAUGAAGGGAGCUUGCUCCUGGAUUCAGCGGCGGACGGGUGAGUAAUGCCUAGGAAUCUGCCUGGUAGUGGGGGAUAACGUCCGGAAACGGGCGCUAAUACCGCAUACGUCCUGAGGGAGAAAGUGGGGGAUCUUCGGACCUCACGCUAUCAGAUGAGCCUAGGUCGGAUUAGCUAGUUGGUGGGGUGAAGGCCUACCAAGGCGACGAUCCGUAACUGGUCUGAGAGGAUGAUCAGUCACACUGGAACUGAGACACGGUCCAGACUCCUACGGGAGGCAGCAGUGGGGAAUAUUGGACAAUGGGCGAGAACCUGAUCCAGCCAUGCCGCGUGUGUGAAGAAGGUCUUCGGAUUGUAAAGCACUUUAAGUUGGGAGGAAGGGCAGUAAGUUAAUACCUUGCUGUUUUGACGUUACCAACAGAAUAAGCACCGGCUAACUUCGUG
This 484-nucleotide ribosomal RNA is filed under the name uncultured bacterium. Its description in RNAcentral is "partial 16S ribosomal RNA". It matches the Rfam family "Bacterial small subunit ribosomal RNA", at positions 30 to 507 of the family's 1533-position model. The record is from RNAcentral.